RNAcentral lists this unclassified non-coding RNA (1362 nucleotides) under Yarrowia lipolytica. Lineage: Eukaryota; Fungi; Ascomycota; Dipodascomycetes; Dipodascales. The record is from RNAcentral.
CAGAAUCAUGUUGGAUUGCUCUCGAACGAGGAGUUCUUGCGGAGCCGAAUCUACCGGUUGUGUUGGCUCCUUGUUCGGCCACGUUCUGGGUGCAGCGAUCUGACGCUGAAACCACCGCCGUGGGGGACACUGGUCGCACCUUAUCGACAAGUUUUUGCUUUCAUAAAGCUCCCUGUCUCUCCGACCAGAAGCACAUGGUGAACGUGAAACGGCGCACGGAACAGCUGCUAGCCGGAGAUUCACGAUCGACACUGCAGCUGCCCCAUCCGCCAUUUUGGGACCGCCAGGGAGAUGGUGCAAAUGCGACGCAGAGAAAGGUGGUGAACGAAAAAGAAAACAUGCGCGGAAAAUUACCGUCCAGGGAAUUGACACAAAUUCUCAACUGACACGUAAUUGACUACAGACAGAGAAACGCCCCUUGGCAUCAUCGACAGGGUUAAACAUUGACCUGGAGGUGGUUAUGCACGGCUGGCGAUGGUGUUUUUUGCAACUCUACAGCUAGAGGGUGAAGAUGGGGACUUUAGACGGACUAGCAGUGAUUCUAUUGAGAUACCAACUUGAUGAGAGUGAUUGACGACCUUUACUGAUUACUUCAAGUACAGUACACACUAUUGGGUGAGAUGGUGCUCUUACGACUCUUCAACCAAGAACAGAGCUAAGUACAAGUACAAGAGAUUUGGUAAUCGAGCAAAUAUAACCUAGUGUCAAUGAAAUGAUUGACUGGCUAUAUGACAGCUAUGAUUGCUUUAUUUCCGGUUCUUGGCUGAGGUUCUUCAGAUGUAAGCAUGUCUCAGAGGGUGUGAAAAUGUCGACACACACGGAAAUAUCGCGGCUAGAAACACAAGGAGUUGUCCGUCUUGAUUCCAAGGGUCUUUUGAAGCGGCUUAUCAACUUUGCAUCGGUUUAUUUCGCUUUAUUAAGAAGUAAAUUGCUGGAAAAUACCAACAUCGUGAUAAAAAUCAAGCCAGAAACGAAAAAAAGAAGCGUAUGCGCAAAAAAGAACAAUCUGGGUAACGGCAAAGGGUGUCUUUGUCUACUACCAGGAGUUUUUUAAACCCUGCCGCUCAUCUUGACGAUCUGCUGUCAUUCAUUGUCCAACUGAUGUUCAGUCUAUCACUAAUAUUACGCCAGAACAGCAUUGACAGAAACGAAAAGUCGAAUGAUAGUCGCUCUGAGGUAUGUCGAUUUCAAUAGUAUACGGCAUUGAUCGCUAGAUAGUGAUUUGAAGUACUAUCGGCGAAAGUGCUAUGUGAAGUACAAUGUGAAGUACAACGCUCUGUAGACCUGUUUGCCGAAAACCAACUCCACCACUGCGUUUUCCGCGUCCUGAUCCCAUUGGCCUUUGCUACAUAAAUUUAAUAU